This 57-nucleotide transfer RNA is filed under the name Perkinsus olseni. RNAcentral describes it as "tRNA-Gln". It matches the Rfam family "tRNA", at positions 8 to 63 of the family's 71-position model. From Rfam's summary of the family: Transfer RNA (tRNA) molecules are approximately 80 nucleotides in length. Their secondary structure includes four short double-helical elements and three loops (D, anti-codon, and T loops). The record is from RNAcentral. Lineage: Eukaryota; Perkinsozoa; Perkinsida; Perkinsidae.
UAGUGUAGUGGUCAGCACUCUGGACUUUGAAUCCAGCAACUCGGGUUCGACUCCCGA